This 253-nucleotide ribosomal RNA is filed under the name uncultured bacterium. RNAcentral describes it as "partial 16S ribosomal RNA". It matches the Rfam family "Bacterial small subunit ribosomal RNA", at positions 524 to 776 of the family's 1533-position model. The record is from RNAcentral.
UACGAAGGGGGCUAGCGUUGUUCGGAAUCACUGGGCGUAAAGGGCGCGUAGGCGGCCGAUCAAGUCGGGGGUGAAAGCCUGUGGCUCAACCACAGAAUUGCCUUCGAUACUGUUUGGCUUGAGACCGGAAGAGGUAAGUGGAACUGCGAGUGUAGAGGUGAAAUUCGUAGAUAUUCGCAAGAACACCAGUGGCGAAUGCGGCUUACUGGUCCGGUUCUGACGCUGAGGCGCGAAAGCGUGGGGAGCAAACAGG